UNGCCUAGGUAAUUUGAGAGAUCCUGCUC
This 29-nucleotide non-coding RNA is filed under the name Rattus norvegicus (Norway rat). The record is from RNAcentral. Lineage: Eukaryota; Metazoa; Chordata; Mammalia; Rodentia; Muridae.